CGCCCGGUCCCAUUCCGAACCCGGAAGCUAAGCCCUGGCACGGCGAUGGUACUAUGCUUGAGAGGGCAUGGGAGAGUAGCACACCGCCGCAACA
This 94-nucleotide ribosomal RNA is filed under the name Bifidobacterium canis. Lineage: Bacteria; Bacillati; Actinomycetota; Actinomycetes; Bifidobacteriales; Bifidobacteriaceae. The record is from RNAcentral.